RNAcentral lists this ribosomal RNA (484 nucleotides) under uncultured bacterium. RNAcentral's name for it is "partial 16S ribosomal RNA". It matches the Rfam family "Bacterial small subunit ribosomal RNA", at positions 30 to 507 of the family's 1533-position model. The record is from RNAcentral.
AUUGAACGCUGGCGGCAGGCCUAACACAUGCCAGUCGAGCGGAUGAAGGAGGCUCGCUCCUGGCUUCAGCGGCGGACGGGUGAGUAAUUAAUAGGAAGCUGCCCGACAGUGGGGGAUAACGUACGGUAAGGAGCGCUAAUACCGUAUACGUCCUGAGGGAGAACGUGGGGGAUCUUCGGACCUCACGCUAUUAGAUGUGCCUAGGUCGGAUUAGCUAGUUGGUAGGGUAAAGUCCUACCAAGGCGACGAUCCGUAACUGGUCUGAGAGGAUGAUCGGUCACACUGGAACUGAGACACGGUCCAGACUCCUACGGGAGGCAGCAGUGGGGAAUAUUGGGCAAUGGGCGAAAGCCUGAUCCAGCAAUGCCGCGUGUGUGAAGAAGGUCUUCGGAUUGUAAAGCACUUUAAGUUGGGAGGAAGAGAAGUAGGUGAAUACCUUGAUGUUUUGACGUUACCAACAGAAUAAGCACCGGCUAACUUCGUG